RNAcentral lists this unclassified non-coding RNA (273 nucleotides) under Hevea brasiliensis (rubber tree). Lineage: Eukaryota; Viridiplantae; Streptophyta; Magnoliopsida; Malpighiales; Euphorbiaceae. The record is from RNAcentral.
AGCAAUGUUGCUGGGUAUAUUUAAAGGUUUUCAGAAGGUGACAAUUGAACGAGACUCGCAGACUGUCAUCAGGUCUCCAAUGAAGUAAUGCUGCUAUGACUAUUCAAGGCAUUAUUGCUAACAUCAAAGUGUUAUCGGCUUCUUUUGAGUCGAUCUUUUUCAACUUUGUUAAGAGACAUUGUAAUAAGGCAGCUCAUUCUAUUGCUUCAACGCUCUUUGAGCUCUAUCUUUCUUGUGUAAUCCUGUAGAGUAAGUGCUCUUUAUUAAUAAACG